RNAcentral lists this ribosomal RNA (403 nucleotides) under uncultured archaeon. RNAcentral's name for it is "bacterial SSU rRNA". It matches the Rfam family "Archaeal small subunit ribosomal RNA", at positions 595 to 997 of the family's 1478-position model. The record is from RNAcentral.
GGAACCGGGAGAGGUAAGAGGUACUACGAGGGGUAGGAGUGAAAUCUUGUAAUCCCUGGUGGGACCACCUGUGGCGAAGGCGUCUACAGAACGGGUUCGACGGUGAGGACGAAAGCUGGGGGCACGAACCGGAUUAGAUACCCGGGUAGUCCCAGCCGUAAACGAUGCUCGCUAGGUGUCAGGCAUGGCGCGACCGUGUCUGGUGCCGCAGGGAAGCCGUGAAGCGAGCCACCUGGGAAGUACGGCCGCAAGGCUGAAACUUAAAGGAAUUGGCGGGGGAGCACAACAACGGGUGGAGCCCUGCGGUUUAAUUGGACUCAACGCCGGACAACUCACCGGGGGCGACAGCAAUAUGUAGGCCAAGCUGAAGACUUUGCCUGAAUCGCUGAGUAGAGGUGCAUGG